This 451-nucleotide ribosomal RNA is filed under the name uncultured bacterium. RNAcentral describes it as "partial 16S ribosomal RNA". It matches the Rfam family "Bacterial small subunit ribosomal RNA", at positions 29 to 523 of the family's 1533-position model. The record is from RNAcentral.
AACGAACGCUGGCGGCAUGCCUAACACAUGCAAGUCGAACGAGCACUUUCGGGUGCUAGUGGCGCACGGGUGCGUAACGCGUGGGAAUCUGCCCUGGGGUACGGAACAACUCAGAGAAAUUUGAGCUAAUACCGUAUGAUGACGUAAGUCCAAAGAUUUAUCGCCCUGGGAUGAGCCCGCGUUGGAUUAGCUAGUUGGUGGGGUAAGAGCCUACCAAGGCGACGAUCCAUAGCUGGUCUGAGAGGAUGAUCAGCCACACUGGGACUGAGACAUGGCCCAGACUCCUACGGGAGGCAGCAGUGGGGAAUAUUGGACAAUGGGCGCAAGCCUGAUCCAGCAAUGCCGCGUGAGUGAUGAAGGCCUUAGGGUUGUAAAAUUCUUUCACCGGGGACGAUAAUGACGGUACCCGGAGAAGAAGCCCCGGCUAACUUCGUGCCAGCAGCCGCGGUAA